This 395-nucleotide unclassified non-coding RNA is filed under the name Hevea brasiliensis (rubber tree). The record is from RNAcentral. Lineage: Eukaryota; Viridiplantae; Streptophyta; Magnoliopsida; Malpighiales; Euphorbiaceae.
GAGAGAACGUCUGGCAUGUCAGGUGUUAGCACAGCAACUGCGCCAUCUGGUAUUUCCUCUUCCCCCUUAACCUUUUUAGCCACUAAGAUUGUAGGCCGUGAAUAGGUUUUAUUCUGAACAGCAAGCAAUUCAUCCACAACAACAAUGUAUCCAGCAACUUCAAUAGGGCUUAUGACCUGCCAACUUCCCAGAUUUGCUACAUUCCGAAGAACUGGGUCAAGUCGAUUGAGAAGUACUGAUAAAGAAGCAGCUGAUCCAGCACGAAUAAUUUCUUCAGUAAAUAAGUUUACUGCCCCCUGAUCAACUCCAAGCAAUGAUCCCAGGUAUUCAGCUGAAGGUUGCAGAAUAUCCUGGUACUCCUCCGCCUUGCUUGAUAGGGCAAGUCUAGUUCUAUC